CGAUGGAGGGGGAUAACUACUGGAAACGGUAGCUAUACCGCAUAACGUCGCAAGACCAAAGAGGGGGACCUUCGGGCCUCUUGCCAUCGGAUGUGCCCAGAUGGGAUUAGCUAGUAGGUGGGGUAACGGCUCACCUAGGCGACGAUCCCUAGCUGGUCUGAGAGGAUGACCAGCCACACUGGAACUGAGACACGGUCCAG
This 200-nucleotide ribosomal RNA is filed under the name uncultured bacterium. RNAcentral's name for it is "partial 16S ribosomal RNA". It matches the Rfam family "Bacterial small subunit ribosomal RNA", at positions 131 to 334 of the family's 1533-position model. The record is from RNAcentral.